Molecule: unclassified non-coding RNA, 238 nt
Filed under: Ambisporaceae sp.
Lineage: Eukaryota; Fungi; Glomeromycota; Glomeromycetes; Archaeosporales; Ambisporaceae
Description: partial contains 5.8S ribosomal RNA and internal transcribed spacer 2
Rfam family: 5.8S ribosomal RNA (bases 1-71)
Source: RNAcentral
GUGAAUCAUCAAAUUUUUGAACGCAUAUUGCACUCUCUGGUAUUCCGGAGAGUAUGCCUAUUUGAGGGUCAUUCGUAAUAAUAUAAAUUCUAAGAUCUCUCGGAAUUUAAUAUGUGUUGUCCAUUUUUUGUGGUUGCCUAAAAUCCAAGACAAGCUCAUUUUCUUGGGUUGCGUGAUACUUUCAGUUACCUCGUGACUUAACAAGGAAUCAUCGUGCGUGUUAUGAAUUUUUCAUGAG